GGGGGGGGGGGGGGGGGGGCGGGGGGGGGGGAGGGGGGGGGGGGGGGGGGGGGGGGGCGGGUGUGGGGGGAGCGGCGGGCGGGGGAGGAACGCGUGGGUAACCUACCUGUACGACUGGGAGAACUUCGGGGAACCGGAGCUCAUACCGGAUAACCUGUUGAACCGCAUGUGUCAACAGGGAAAGCCGGUCUUGCUGUCACUUAUAGCUGGAUCCGCGCCGCAUUAGCUAGGUGGUAAGUUAACCGCUUACCAAGGCAACGAUGCGUAGCCGACCUGAGAGGGUGAUCGGCCACACUGGAACUGAGACACGGUCCAGACUCCGACGGGAGGCAGCAGUAGGGAAUCUUCCGCAAUGGGCGAAAGCCUGACGGAGCAACGCCGCGUGAGUGAAGAAGGUCUUCGGAUCGUAAAACUCUGUUAUUAGGGAAGAACAAAUGUGUAAGUAACUAUGCACGUCUUGACGGUACCUAAUCAGAAAGCCACGGCUAACUACGUG
RNAcentral lists this ribosomal RNA (496 nucleotides) under uncultured bacterium. RNAcentral's name for it is "partial 16S ribosomal RNA". The stretch from base 54 to 496 matches the Rfam family "Bacterial small subunit ribosomal RNA", at positions 39 to 507 of the family's 1533-position model. The record is from RNAcentral.